GAUGAAGAACGUAGCGAAAUGCGAUAAGUAAUGUGAAUUGCAGAAUUCAGUGAAUCAUCGAAUCUUUGAACGCACAUUACGCCCCCUGGUAUUCCGGGGGCAUGCCUGUCCGAGCGUCAUUACAACCCUCAAGCUCAGCUUGGUGUUGGGCCCCGCCGCCCCGGCGGGCCCUAAAGUCAGUGGCGGUGCCGUCCGGCUCCGAGCGUAGUAAUUCUUCUCGCUCUGGAGGUCCGGUCGUGUGCUCGCCAGCAACCCCCAAUUUUUUUCAGGUUGACCUCGGAUCAGGUAGGGAUACCCGCUGAACUUAAGCAUAUCAAUAAGCGGAGGA
This 328-nucleotide unclassified non-coding RNA is filed under the name soil metagenome. RNAcentral describes it as "partial contains 5.8S ribosomal RNA, internal transcribed spacer 2, and large subunit ribosomal RNA". The stretch from base 1 to 119 matches the Rfam family "5.8S ribosomal RNA", at positions 35 to 154 of the family's 154-position model. The record is from RNAcentral.